GGGGCCUCGUAGGGACAGGGAUGAUAGGAGAGCCAAAGGAGGGCACAGCAGGAAGGUUCAGAGGACAGGUGCUGGUGGGAUGGGGACCAGGACCCCAGCAAGGAGCCCAGGCUAGGGACCUAGAGGAGGGCCCACGCCAGGGGAGAGCAGCAGAGGCUGGAGCCAGGCAUGUGGGCAGCACUAGUGGACUGUAGUGCAGGGAAACCAAGGGGAGCAGAGAAGCAGCCUAAGCAAGGGGCCCUCAAUCAACGCCCAGGGAUGCACUGAGCAACAAGGGCCACCAGAGGCUCAAGCGAGUAGCCAGGCCAGGGAAUGGAGAGCCCAGGGCUGGGGCUGGGGCAGGGGGCUCAGGACAGUGACAGGGCUGGGGAAGGAAGGCAGGGGAUCUGGAAGUAGGGAGGCAGGCUCCAGGCCACUGCCAGUAUCAGGGUUCUGGGUGCAGGACCAAGGGCCCAGGAAGACUAAGGGGCCCAGGUAAGG
This 480-nucleotide long non-coding RNA is filed under the name Marmota monax (woodchuck). The record is from RNAcentral. Lineage: Eukaryota; Metazoa; Chordata; Mammalia; Rodentia; Sciuridae.